This is a non-coding RNA of Arabidopsis lyrata subsp. lyrata, 80 nucleotides long. NCBI's taxonomy places the organism in Eukaryota, Viridiplantae, Streptophyta, Magnoliopsida, Brassicales, Brassicaceae. The record is from Rfam.
UCCGCUGUAGCACAUUGCUUAAACUUUGAAAUCAAGUUACCCUCUAAUUGGAAUUCCGGGUUCGAAUCCCGGCAGCGGAA